UCGCGGUAUGGGAUGGGGUCGCGUCCUAUCAGCUUGACGGCGGGGUGACGGCCCACCGUGGCUUCGACGGGUAGCCGGCCUGAGAGGGCGACCGGCCACAUAGGGACAGAGAUACGGCCCAGACUCCUACGGGAGGCAGCAGUGGGGAAUAACGCACAAUGGGCGCAAGCCUGAUGCAGCCACGCCGCGUGAGGGAUGCAGGCCUUCGGGUUGUAAACCUCUAUUAUCGGGGAGCCAGCGAGAGUGAGUUUACCCGUUGAAUAAGCACCGGCUAACUACGUGCCAGCAGCCGCGGUAAUACGUAGGGUGCAAGCGUUAUCCGGAAUUAUUGGGCGUAAAGGGCUCGUAGGCGGUUCGUCGCGUCCGGUGUGAAAGUCCAUCGCUUAACGGUGGAUCCGCGCCGGGUACGGGCGGG
This 415-nucleotide ribosomal RNA is filed under the name uncultured Bifidobacterium sp. Its description in RNAcentral is "bacterial SSU rRNA". It matches the Rfam family "Bacterial small subunit ribosomal RNA", at positions 213 to 640 of the family's 1533-position model. The record is from RNAcentral. Lineage: Bacteria; Bacillati; Actinomycetota; Actinomycetes; Bifidobacteriales; Bifidobacteriaceae.